UUUUAUCAAAAUUUUAAAAUUUAAAUCCAAAUAAAUUUAAAUAUUUGAUUUUAAAUAUUAUAUUAAAUUCGUAAUUAAAUACAAAAUAUGAAAAUAAAUAAAUAAAGUGGGCUAACUUACGACCAAUGAACAUCUAACAUCGAUGUAAAAUGGUCGUUCUUUUGCGAUGAAUAAACAUCGACGUAGAGGCAAAUUGGUCGUAAGUUUACGACUAAUGUACAUCUAAUUUGUGAGACGUAAAUGUGCGUCACAUUUACGACUGAUGCUUUUACGUUU
Molecule: long non-coding RNA, 276 nt
Filed under: Brassica rapa (field mustard)
Lineage: Eukaryota; Viridiplantae; Streptophyta; Magnoliopsida; Brassicales; Brassicaceae
Description: long non-coding RNA (BRAP_LNC001292)
Source: RNAcentral